AGGAUAAACGCUGGCGGCGUGCCUAACGCAUGCAAGUCGAACGAGGCCUUCGGGUCUAGUGGCGGACGGGUGAGUAACACGUAGGAACCUGCCCGGAAGUGGGGGACAACUCCGCGAAAGCGGGGCUAAUACCGCAUACGGUCUACGGACCAAAGCCUUCGGGCGCUUUCGGAGGGGCCUGCGGCGGAUUAGCUAGUUGGUGGGGUAACGGCCUACCAAGGCGACGAUCCGUAGCUGGUCUGAGAGGAUGAUCAGCCACACUGGGACUGAGACACGGCCCAGACUCCUACGGGAGGCAGCAGCGAGGAAUUUUCCGCAAUGGGCGAAAGCCUGACGGAGCGACGCCGCGUGGGGGAAGAAGGCCUUCGGGUUGUAAACCCCUGUUGCGAGGGAAGAAGAUCUGACGGUACCUCGCGAGGAAGCCACGGCUAACUACGUGCCAGCAGCCGC
Molecule: ribosomal RNA, 450 nt
Filed under: uncultured soil bacterium
Lineage: Bacteria
Description: bacterial SSU rRNA
Rfam family: Bacterial small subunit ribosomal RNA
Source: RNAcentral